UUAUUGGAGAGUUUGAUCCUGGCUCAGGGUGAACGCUGGCGGCGUGCCUAAGACAUGCAAGUCGAGCGGGGCGGGUUUAUACCUGCCCAGCGGCGGACGGGUGAGUA
Molecule: ribosomal RNA, 107 nt
Filed under: Thermus brevis
Lineage: Bacteria; Thermotogati; Deinococcota; Deinococci; Thermales; Thermaceae
Description: Thermus sp. SYSU G05001 partial 16S ribosomal RNA
Rfam family: Bacterial small subunit ribosomal RNA
Source: RNAcentral